AUCCAGACUCCUACGGGAGGCAGCAGUGGGGAAUAUUGCACAAUGGGGGAACCCUGAUGCAGCGACGCCGCGUGGGUGAAGGAGUAUUUCGGUAUGUAAAGCCCUCUCAGCAGGGAAGAACAAUGACGGUACCUGACUAAGAAGCACCGGCUAAAUACGUGCCAGCAGCCGCGGUAAUACGUAUGGUGCAAGCGUUAUCCGGAUUUACUGGGUGUAAAGGGAGCGUAGACGGCGAAGAAAGUCUGAAGUGAAAGCCCGCGGCUCAACCGCGGAAUGGCUUUGGAAACUUUUUUGCUGGAGUACCGGAGAGGUAAGCGGAAUUCCUAGUGUAGCGGUGAAAUGCGUAGAUAUUAGGAGGAACACCAGUGGCGAAGGCGGUUUACUGGACGGUAACUGACGUUGAGGCUCGAAAGCGUGGGGAGCAAACAGGAUUAGAUACCCCCGUAU
RNAcentral lists this ribosomal RNA (447 nucleotides) under uncultured bacterium. RNAcentral describes it as "bacterial SSU rRNA". It matches the Rfam family "Bacterial small subunit ribosomal RNA", at positions 329 to 793 of the family's 1533-position model. The record is from RNAcentral.